UACGGAAGGUCCAGGCGUUAUCCGGAUUUAUUGGGUUUAAAGGGAGCGCAGGCUGAUGAUUAAGCGUGACGUGAAAUGUAGCCGCUCAACGGCUGAACUGCGUCGCGAACUGGCUUUCUUGAGUGAGUACGACGUCAGCGGAAUUCGUGGUGUAGCGGUGAAAUGCUUAGAUAUCACGAAGAACUCCGAUUGCGAAGGCAGCUGACGAGUCCUUUACUGACGCUAAAGCUCGUAGGUGCGGGUAUUGAAC
This 250-nucleotide ribosomal RNA is filed under the name uncultured prokaryote. RNAcentral describes it as "partial 16S ribosomal RNA". It matches the Rfam family "Bacterial small subunit ribosomal RNA", at positions 524 to 773 of the family's 1533-position model. The record is from RNAcentral.